RNAcentral lists this long non-coding RNA (815 nucleotides) under Mustela putorius furo (domestic ferret). RNAcentral describes it as "lncRNA (ENSMPUG00000031286.1)". The record is from RNAcentral. Lineage: Eukaryota; Metazoa; Chordata; Mammalia; Carnivora; Mustelidae.
GUUUCUGACUUUGAGAAUGCACAACCAGAAAGAAAGUCAAUCCGGAGAUCUAUGUCUGAAAACGAAGGAUUUGAAAGGAAAACAGUGAGGGACACAAUCUGGCAGGAACCCCGCAAGCCUGAGAAUGAUUCCCACAUCAGAAAACUCUGUCAGCUAAAAGGUAAUUGCUAAAUUCAGUUCAGCUGACUUUGCAUUUUCCCAAAGUAGCUUAAAGGGCAGGAAAGAAAAAUUUACAUCUUUCCCUAUUAAAAUAAGCAGGGCAUUGUGGUCUACUUAAAAAAGGAAAAACAACUAGAAUAGGAGGUAUAUAUUAUAAUAGGAUAUAUAUGUGUGUCUGGGUGUGUAUAGAUACUCAUAAACAUAUAGAAAGGAAGUAGAAUCUAAUUAGGUUGACUGUUGAAGCAAAGAAUCAAUUGCAAAUAAUAUUUGAAAGUCUUUAAUGUCUGUAAGAAUUUUAACAUGUGUUAAAAAUCAUCCCAUAGAAAAACCCUCCAAAAUAACAUCAAUAUAUUAAUAGUUGUUAAAACAUUUAAGUUUUCCUUAAAAAUAUAGAAGAGCACCCUUGAUUAUUAAUACAAAAUUAUAUCAUUUCAUAAUUUAAAAAUUCCCAAGAAGAGAAAAUUAGCAGCCAGGUGUAGAAAACUGUAUUAAUAAUAAAUGACUUCAAAAUUAAAAUUACUUAACUUCGGGAAGGUAAUGAAUAAAACAAAAAGUCUUCAGAGUUCACAAACAUGAACAACUGCAUAAAAAGUUGCUUGGUAUUCUCCCUUUAAUGUUACUAGAACAAAAAAAAUUAUGUUAGUUAUUGAUUAUUU